Molecule: ribosomal RNA, 495 nt
Filed under: uncultured bacterium
Lineage: Bacteria
Description: partial 16S ribosomal RNA
Rfam family: Bacterial small subunit ribosomal RNA
Source: RNAcentral
GACGAACGCUGGCGGCGUGCCUAAUACAUGCAAGUAGAACGCUGAAGGAGGAGCUUGCUUCUCUGGAUGAGUUGCGAACGGGUGAGUAACGCGUAGGUAACCUGCCUGGUAGCGGGGGAUAACUAUUGGAAACGAUAGCUAAUACCGCAUAAUAGUAGAUGUUGCAUGACAUUUGCUCAAAAGGUGCAAUUGCAUCACUACUAGAUGGACCUGCGUUGUAUUAGCUAGUUGGUGAGGUAACGGCUCACCAAGGCGACGAUACAUAGCCGACCUCAGAGGGGGAUCGGCGACGCUGGGCUUGAGACACGGCCCAGCAUCCUGCGAGAGGCAGCAGUAGGGAACCCUCGGCAAUGGACGGAAGUGUGACCGAGCAGCGCUGCGUGAGUGAAGAAGGUAUCCGUAUCGUGUAGCUCUGUUAUGUGUGAAGAUCGAGUGUGUGUGUGGACAGUUAACACAGUGACGGUAUCUUGCCAGGAAGGCACGGCUAACUUCGUG